Molecule: ribosomal RNA, 495 nt
Filed under: uncultured bacterium
Lineage: Bacteria
Description: partial 16S ribosomal RNA
Rfam family: Bacterial small subunit ribosomal RNA
Source: RNAcentral
GACGAACGCUGGCGGCGUGCCUAAUACAUGCAAGUAGAACGCUGAAGGAGGAGCUUGCUCUUCUGGAUGAGUUGCGAACGGGUGAGUAACGCGUAGGUAACCUGCCUGGUAGCGGGGGAUAACUAUAGGAAACGAUAGCUAAUACCGCAUAACAGUAGAUGUUGCAUGACAUUUACUUAAAAGGUGCAAUUGCAUCACUACCAGAUGGACCUGCGUUGUAUUAGCUAGUUGGUGGGGUAACGGCUCACCAAGGCGACGAUACAUAGCCGACCUGAGAGGGUGAUCGGCCACACUGGGACUGAGACACGGCCCAGACUCCUACGGGAGGCAGCAGUAGGGAAUCUUCGGCAAUGGACGGAAGUCUGACCGAGCAACGCCGCGUGAGUGAAGAAGGUGUUCGGAUCGUAAAGCUCUGUUGUAAGAGAAGAACGAGUGUGAGAGUGGAAAGUUCACACUGUGACGGUAUCUUACCAGAAAGGGACGGCUAACUACGUG